AGAGUUUGAUCAUGGCUCAGAUUGAACGCUGGCGGAAUGCUUUACACAUGCAAGUCGAACGGUAGAGGGGGCAACCCCUCGAGAGUGGCGAACGGGUGAGUAAUAUAUCGGAACGUGCCCAGUCGUGGGGGAUAACGUAGCGAAAGUUACGCUAAUACCGCAUACGAUCUACGGAUGAAAGCGGGGGAUCGCAAGACCUCGCGCGAUUGGAGCGGCCGAUAUCAGAUUAGGUAGUUGGUGGGGUAAAGGCUCACCAAGCCAACGAUCUGUAGCUGGUCUGAGAGGACGACCAGCCACACUGGAACUGAGACACGGUCCAGACUCCUACGGGAGGCAGCAGUGGGGAAUUUUGGACAAUGGACGCAAGUCUGAUCCAGCCAUUCCGCGUGCAGGAUGAAGGCCCUCGGGUUGUAAACUGCUUUUGUACGGAACGAAAAGGUUUCUAUUAAUACUAGGAGCUCAUGACGGUACCGUAAGAAUAAGCACCGGCUAACUACGUGCCAGCAGCCGCGGUAAUACGUAGGGUGCAAGCGUUAAUCGGAAUUACUGGGCGUAAAGCGUGCGCAGGCGGUUAUGUAAGACAGAGGUGAAAUCCCCGGGCUCAACCUGGGAACUGCCUUUGUGACUGCAUAGCUAGAGUACGGUAGAGGGGGAUGGAAUUCCGCGUGUAGCAGUGAAAUGCGUAGAUAUGCGGAGGAACACCGAUGGCGAAGGCAAUCCCCUGGACCUGUACUGACGCUCAUGCACGAAAGCGUGGGGAGCAAACAGGAUUAGAUACCCUGGUAGUCCACGCCCUAAACGAUGUCAACUGGUUGUUGGGUCUUCACUGACUCAGUAACGAAGCUAACG
This 849-nucleotide ribosomal RNA is filed under the name uncultured bacterium. RNAcentral describes it as "bacterial SSU rRNA". It matches the Rfam family "Bacterial small subunit ribosomal RNA", at positions 8 to 857 of the family's 1533-position model. The record is from RNAcentral.